RNAcentral lists this ribosomal RNA (870 nucleotides) under Pseudomonas sp. F118. RNAcentral describes it as "bacterial SSU rRNA". It matches the Rfam family "Bacterial small subunit ribosomal RNA", at positions 49 to 914 of the family's 1533-position model. Lineage: Bacteria; Pseudomonadati; Pseudomonadota; Gammaproteobacteria; Pseudomonadales; Pseudomonadaceae. The record is from RNAcentral.
CUACACAUGCAAGUCGAGCGGUAGAGAGAAGCUUGCUUCUCUUGAGAGCGGCGGACGGGUGAGUAAUGCCUAGGAAUCUGCCUGGUAGUGGGGGAUAACGUUCGGAAACGGACGCUAAUACCGCAUACGUCCUACGGGAGAAAGCAGGGGACCUUCGGGCCUUGCGCUAUCAGAUGAGCCUAGGUCGGAUUAGCUAGUUGGUGAGGUAAUGGCUCACCAAGGCGACGAUCCGUAACUGGUCUGAGAGGAUGAUCAGUCACACUGGAACUGAGACACGGUCCAGACUCCUACGGGAGGCAGCAGUGGGGAAUAUUGGACAAUGGGCGAAAGCCUGAUCCAGCCAUGCCGCGUGUGUGAAGAAGGUCUUCGGAUUGUAAAGCACUUUAAGUUGGGAGGAAGGGUUGUAGAUUAAUACUCUGCAAUUUUGACGUUACCGACAGAAUAAGCACCGGCUAACUCUGUGCCAGCAGCCGCGGUAAUACAGAGGGUGCAAGCGUUAAUCGGAAUUACUGGGCGUAAAGCGCGCGUAGGUGGUUUGUUAAGUUGGAUGUGAAAUCCCCGGGCUCAACCUGGGAACUGCAUUCAAAACUGACUGACUAGAGUAUGGUAGAGGGUGGUGGAAUUUCCUGUGUAGCGGUGAAAUGCGUAGAUAUAGGAAGGAACACCAGUGGCGAAGGCGACCACCUGGACUAAUACUGACACUGAGGUGCGAAAGCGUGGGGAGCAAACAGGAUUAGAUACCCUGGUAGUCCACGCCGUAAACGAUGUCAACUAGCCGUUGGAAGCCUUGAGCUUUUAGUGGCGCAGCUAACGCAUUAAGUUGACCGCCUGGGGAGUACGGCCGCAAGGUUAAAACUCAAAUGAAUUGAC